Molecule: long non-coding RNA, 275 nt
Filed under: Physcomitrium patens
Lineage: Eukaryota; Viridiplantae; Streptophyta; Bryopsida; Funariales; Funariaceae
Description: long non-coding RNA (PPAT_LNC007737)
Source: RNAcentral
UUCUUCAAAAAUUCGAAUGUCCAUCAUUUUGAGGAUUUAUAUAAAAAAUUUGUAAUCAAACCACAUCAAAUACCAACUAUACUAGUUCAUAUUCUUGUCUAUACCAAAGCAAUCCAAGAUCUAGAGAUUUGAAAGAAAGCUCCAUUCAAUAACAAUAAUCUAAGGAGACAUGCAAAUAAACUGAAUCUUUUAGAAUCAAUCCUCCACAAUAACAACCACCUUCAUCAAUAUGAGUAAUAAAUCAUACAAUAAGUUCAAGCACCACAAUAAUCUCU